GGGCUGCUGCUCUUCGCGUGAAACGGGUCAAUUCCGGUGGCCUUAAUCAACUCCGAGGGAGCCGGCUCUUGCGAGACCCUGGUUUCGUAACCUGGCGCCCACCUGUGCAAACAGGUCCUCGGGAAUUCAACCCCACGGUCGCGGCGGGGCCCGC
This 154-nucleotide unclassified non-coding RNA is filed under the name Wenxinia saemankumensis. Its description in RNAcentral is "6S / SsrS RNA". The record is from RNAcentral. Lineage: Bacteria; Pseudomonadati; Pseudomonadota; Alphaproteobacteria; Rhodobacterales; Roseobacteraceae.